UUUUAUUUGUUUGAAAAACCAACUAAACAGUUGAACUAAAUCAAUCAAGUGAACAAGCCAAAAUGGUUGGUUAAUUAAUUAAAUCAGCUUAUUGAUUGAAUGAAUUGAUGAACUUGUUAGAGCAGAUGAGUGAGAAUCUGAGAGGCCUGCAGAAGGCAGGCCCUGGAAGCUGACUAGGAAGCCUGUCUGCCAAAGGCCUGGUGAGCAGUGACAGUGAUCAGAAGCUGAGAAGAUGUGCCUGUCUUUUGUAGCCCUGCACCUGAGGGAAGAGGUGUCAAAAGUCAAAAAGAAGGACUUUGAGCACUUGCUGAUAGAGGUGAUGCAGAUGUGGGACUUUCUGCUCAGGAUCCUCAAUCAGGAAGUCCUGGAGAGUUGCUCCAAGUUGAAGAUUGUCAACAAAUUGAGUCUCCCUGCAUCCCUAGUGGGCAUCAGCUCGGGGGUGUGUAAUUCAUUCAUUGCUGGUUCAGCCUAGAUGAGCAGCUACUAAGGAGUCCAGCAAGCAAGCAUUGCAUGCCACAUUCUCUCAGCCACUUCUUCAGUAGAGUUUUCUGGGUCCUGAUCUGUACAGAGGGACAGGCAAUGGGCAGGUUGUUCCUACAGUACCUGAGGAUGCUGGACAAAGAGAUCAUCCCCAUGGAUUUCUAUGGGGUUGCGAUAUACGUCCAGCCAUUACUUUUGUUCUCAUUUGCAUUUUUAUAUGGAGAAUUUUUCAAUUUAUUGCAAGCAGGCUUUAUGUAGUAAAAAAGAAAAAGCUUGCUGUAGAACACUCUGGACUAAUAAAAGAAAAUUGUGAUCUACUUGACAAACCUAACUUUCUAGAAAAAGAGGCAACCAAUGAACAGCUGAAGAUUUGCAAAUCUAAGCUGGACGAUAAAGUUCUUUCCGUUGAAAAACAAUUUGAACAAGAAUUGGAAAAAUGUGAUCGACCUGAAUUGGUGGCAAAGAUUUUACCAGCGUUACAGGCCCUAAAAGAUGGAAGAAAGUCCCUCAACUCACAAAUUGCUGACGCUACAACAACGACCAGACCAUUUCAAAUUAUUCAUGAGGCAAUUAAGGCAGAACUAGAGAAGGUUUUCAAUGAAAAUGUGCAGCUUCACCAAGAACUGUUGCAGCUUUCAGAAGAACCUGGACCAUGGAAAGAAAAAUUACGGAAAGCUGCUGAUGAAGCACAAAUAGGACUUGAAAACACUAAAAUACGCAGAAAACAACUUCUGAGGGAUGCACGAGGCCUCUUUGAGGUUAAUGACUCCUCUGAUUUGUAUGAUUGAGCUGGCUGGAAUUUUAUUUUAACAUGGAAAUUUAUAAAGUUUUACAUGCCAAAAAAAAAGUUUUGCAAACAAAUCCUUGCUAUGGGAAAUGAUGAAUUAAAUUGCUAGACUGGGAUCUUGAAA
Ochotona curzoniae (black-lipped pika) is the source of this 1391-nucleotide long non-coding RNA. RefSeq lists it as uncharacterized. The record is from RefSeq and is a predicted model, not a curated record. NCBI's taxonomy places the organism in Eukaryota, Metazoa, Chordata, Mammalia, Lagomorpha, Ochotonidae. The transcript has 9 exons.